AUACUUAUCUGGCAGGGGAGAUACCAUGAUCAUGAAGGUGGUUUUCCCAGGGCGAGGCUUAUCCAUUGCACUCUGUGUGCUGACCCCUGCGAUUUCUCUAAAUGUGGGAAACUCGACUGCAUAAUUUGUAGUAGUGGGGGACUGCAUUUGCGCUCUCCCCUU
This 162-nucleotide small nuclear RNA is filed under the name Castor canadensis (American beaver). RNAcentral describes it as "U1 spliceosomal RNA (ENSCCNG00000006060.1)". It matches the Rfam family "U1 spliceosomal RNA". Rfam says of the family: U1 is a small nuclear RNA (snRNA) component of the spliceosome (involved in pre-mRNA splicing). Its 5' end forms complementary base pairs with the 5' splice junction, thus defining the 5' donor site of an intron. Lineage: Eukaryota; Metazoa; Chordata; Mammalia; Rodentia; Castoridae. The record is from Rfam by way of RNAcentral.